CUCUGCCACCAUCUAUUGGUGAAUGAGGGGAAGAGGCAGAGUGAUCUGACCUUGCUGAUGUUCCCUUCUGUACCCAAAGCACAAUUUGCUUCAUUUUGUGGUUCUGGGCUAACAAACCUGUGUUGUCUUCAUCUUUCUGUGUGAAGAGUGCAACAGGACUGUAGUUAUGCCCUCUGAGUGAAGAACUGUCAUAGACAAAUAUUAACAUCUGGCCUGUUGUCCCACACACUUCUCAAUGGAGCAGGAGGGAGCUUUGGGGCUGCUAUUUUGCCUGUGCUUCAGAAUGGACCCACUACAGAGAAAUAAAUUGAGAAUAAAGCACUGUGUCUCAUCUCAAAAUGAUAUGAAAAAGACUUCUGAAGUUGUCUUAAGACUGUUUCUGUGGGGCUGCUGGCACAAAGUUCCCAGGAAAAGCACAUGCCUGACAGAGCUGCUGUAACCCAAAGAAACCUAGAUGGUGGCUGAUGAGGAACGACACCUGAUAAAUAACAAAAGCUUGUUUUAAGGUAAGUCUCACUUGGAGAGUGGUGGUUCUCUGUCCAAGAUGGGCAGCUGUAGACUGUGAGAUAAAAAC
RNAcentral lists this long non-coding RNA (574 nucleotides) under Parus major (Great Tit). Its description in RNAcentral is "lncRNA (ENSPMJG00000007410.1)". Lineage: Eukaryota; Metazoa; Chordata; Aves; Passeriformes; Paridae. The record is from RNAcentral.